UGAACUUAAGCAUAUCAAUAAGCGGAGGAAAAGAAACCAACAGGGAUUGCCCUAGUAACGGCGAGUGAAGCGGCAACAGCUCAAAUUUGAAAUCUGGCUCUUUUAGAGUCCGAGUUGUAAUUUGCAGAGGGCGCUUUGGCUUUGGCAGCGGUCCAAGUUCCUUGGAACAGGACGUCACAGAGGGUGAGAAUCCCGUACGUGGUCGCUGGCUAUUGCCGUGUAAAGCCCCUUCGACGAGUCGAGUUGUUUGGGAAUGCAGCUCUAAAUGGGAGGUACAUUUCUUCUAAAGCUAAAUAUUGGCCAGAGACCGAUAGCGCACAAGUAGAGUGAUCGAAAGAUGAAAAGCACUUUGGAAAGAGAGUCAAACAGCACGUGAAAUUGUUGAAAGGGAAGCGCUUGCAGCCAGACUUGCUUACAGUUGCUCAUCCGGGUUUCUACCCGGUGCACUCUUCUGUAGGCAGGCCAGCAUCAGUUUGGGCGGUAGGAUAAAGGUCUCUGUCACGUACCUCCUUUCGGGGAGGCCUUAUAGGGGAGACGACAUACUACCAGCCUGGACUGAGGUCCGCGCAUCUGCUAGGAUGCUGGCGUAAUGGCUGUAAGCGGCCCGUCUUGAAACACGGACCAAGGAGUCUAACAUCUAUGCGAGUGUUUGGGUGUCAAGCCCGAGCGCGUAAUGAAAGUGAACGGAGGUGGGAACCCGCAAGGGUGCACCAUCGACCGAUCCUGAUGUCUUCGGAAGGAUUUGAGUAAGAGCAUGGCUGUUGGGACCCGAAAGAUGGUGAACUAUGCUUGAAUAGGGUGAAGCCAGAGGAAACUCUGGUGGAGGCUCGCAGCGGUUCUGACGUGCAAAUCGAUCGUCAAAUUUGGGCAUAGGGGCGAAAGACUAAUCGAACUAUCUAGUAGCUGG
This 907-nucleotide ribosomal RNA is filed under the name Alternaria alternata. Its description in RNAcentral is "partial large subunit ribosomal RNA". It matches the Rfam family "Eukaryotic large subunit ribosomal RNA", at positions 29 to 954 of the family's 3401-position model. The record is from RNAcentral. Lineage: Eukaryota; Fungi; Ascomycota; Dothideomycetes; Pleosporales; Pleosporaceae.